UGGGGAAUAUUGCGCAAUGGGCGCAAGCCUGAUGCAGCAACGCCGCGUGAGGGACGACGGCCUUCGGGUUGUAAACCUCUUUUAGUAGGGAAGAAGCGAAAGUGACGGUACCUGCAGAAAAACGCACCGGCUAACUGCGUGCCAGCAGCCGCGGUAAUACGUAGGGUGCGAGCGUUGUCCGGAAUUAUUGGGCGUAAAGAGCUCGUAGGCGGUCUGUCGCGUCUGCUGUGAAAACCCGAGGCUCAACCUCGGGCCUGCAGUGGGUACGGGCAGACUAGAGUGCGGUAGGGGAGAAUGGAAUUCCUGGUGUAGCGGUGGAAUGCGCAGAUAUCAGGAGGAACACCGAUGGCGAAGGCAGUUCUCUGGGCCGUAACUGACGCUGAGGAGCGAAAGCGUGGGGAGCGAACAGGAUUAGAUACCCUGGUAGUCCACGCCGUAAACGUUGGGCGCUAGAUGUGGGGACCAUUCCACGGUUUCCGUGUCGCAGCUAACGCAUUAAGCGCCCCGCCUGGGGAGUACGGCCGCAAGGCUAAA
RNAcentral lists this ribosomal RNA (534 nucleotides) under uncultured bacterium. RNAcentral's name for it is "partial 16S ribosomal RNA". It matches the Rfam family "Bacterial small subunit ribosomal RNA", at positions 355 to 898 of the family's 1533-position model. The record is from RNAcentral.